Molecule: ribosomal RNA, 365 nt
Filed under: uncultured bacterium
Lineage: Bacteria
Description: bacterial SSU rRNA
Rfam family: Bacterial small subunit ribosomal RNA
Source: RNAcentral
UACCCCGAAGAGGGGGACAACUCCGGGAAACUGGAGCUAAUACCCCAUGUGAUCCUAAGGACUAGAUGCCUAAGGAUGAAAGGGAGCAAUCCGCUUCGGGAGGGGCCUGCGGCCUAUCAGCUAGUUGGUGAGGUAAUGGCUCACCAAGGCGACGACGGGUAGGGGACCUGAGAGGGUGAUCCCCCACACUGGAACUGAAACACGGACCAGACACCUACGGGUGGCAGCAGUAGGGAAUAUUGCACAAUGGGCGAAAGCCUGAUGCAGCAACGCCGCGUGCGCGAUGAAGGCCUUCGGGUUGUAAAGCGCUUUUCUGGGGACGAGAAAGGACGGUACCCCAGGAAUAAGUCUCGGCUAACUACGUG